GAGCCUCCUCCGUGAUGAGAAUUGAGAAGACGAGCUACUGUUGCGGUGUAACGGACACGGUAGCCUAGAGGUGAGAGCAAAACGCGGAGGAGUAAACGACGUCGCCAUCUCGGGAUCAUCUGACAAACCAAUCAUGAAUCCUUUUUCUUCCGUUAAUAUGUUUCAGGGACAUGAUUAGAUCCAUAAGAGCUUGCAAAACAGCUGCUGAGGAGCGUGGUGUUGUGAGAAAAGAGUGUGCUGAUAUCAAAGCAUCUAUUAACGAGAAUGACCCACAUGAUAGGCACCGUAACCUCGCCAAGCUCAUGUUCAUACACAUGCUUGGUUACCCUACACACUUUAGUUAGGUGGAGAGUUUGAAGCUUGUUGCAUCUCCUGGCUUUCCAGAGAAGAGGAUUGGUUAUCUCAGGUUGAUGCUGCUUCUUGACGAGAGACGAGAAAUGCUUGUCCCAAAUUCAUUAAAACAGUACUCCCUCCGUAUUUAUUUAAAUGACGAUUUGUUUGUUUCACUAUACUUGACGCUUUGCAGAAAUCAAUGCAAAUUAUAGUGACAAAAGACUAUAUUUACCCUAUAUUCAAUUUGAUAUACGACAUAAGAUUGUUAAUUAA
Brassica oleracea var. oleracea is the source of this 606-nucleotide long non-coding RNA. RefSeq lists it as uncharacterized. The transcript has 2 exons. NCBI's taxonomy places the organism in Eukaryota, Viridiplantae, Streptophyta, Magnoliopsida, Brassicales, Brassicaceae. The record is from RefSeq and is a predicted model, not a curated record.